UACGAGCGGCCCAAACGUUAUUCGGAUUUACUGGGCUUAAAGAGUUCGUAGGCCGCGCGGAAAGUAGGGUGUGAAAGCCCUCGGCUCAACCGAGGAACUGCGCUCUAAACUACCGUGCUUGAGGAACCUAGAGGUGAGCAGAACUGAUGGUGGAGCGGUGAAAUGCGUUGAUAUCAUCAGGAAUACCGGAGGCGAAGGCGGCUCACUGGGGGUUUUCUGACGCUGAGGAACGAAAGCCAGGGGAGCAAACGGG
This 253-nucleotide ribosomal RNA is filed under the name uncultured bacterium. RNAcentral's name for it is "partial 16S ribosomal RNA". It matches the Rfam family "Bacterial small subunit ribosomal RNA", at positions 524 to 776 of the family's 1533-position model. The record is from RNAcentral.